CACGCAGGCGGGCUGCCAAGUCGGAUGUGAAAACCAGGAGCUUAACUCCUGGCCUGCAUUCGAUACUGGUAGUCUUGAGUACCGGAGAGGAUGGCGGAAUUCCUGGUGUAGCGGUGAAAUGCGUAGAUAUCAGGAAGAACACCGGUGGCGAAGGCGGCCAUCUGGACGGAUACUGACGCUCAGGUGCGAAGGCUAGGGGGAGCAAACA
This 208-nucleotide ribosomal RNA is filed under the name uncultured bacterium. RNAcentral describes it as "partial 16S ribosomal RNA". It matches the Rfam family "Bacterial small subunit ribosomal RNA", at positions 568 to 774 of the family's 1533-position model. The record is from RNAcentral.